This 427-nucleotide ribosomal RNA is filed under the name uncultured bacterium. RNAcentral describes it as "bacterial SSU rRNA". It matches the Rfam family "Bacterial small subunit ribosomal RNA", at positions 355 to 775 of the family's 1533-position model. The record is from RNAcentral.
UAGGGAAUAUUGCGCAAUGGGCGAAAGCCUGACGCAGCGACGCCGCGUGGGUGAUGAAGCUCUUUGGAGUGUAAACCCUUUCAGCAGGGAAGAACCGCAUACGGAGUAACUGCCGUAUGCCUGACGGUACCUGCAGAAGAAGCUCCGGCCAACUCCGUGCCAGCAGCCGCGGUAAUACGGGGGGAGCGAGCGUUGUUCGGAUUUACUGGGCGUAAAGGGCGCGUAGGUGGGUCUUCAAGUCAAAUGUGAAAACCGACGGCUUAACCAUCGGCCUGCAUUUGAUACUGUCGAUCUUGAGUACGGGAGAGGAAAGCGGAAUUCCUGGUGUAGCGGUGAAAUGCGUAGAUAUCAGGAGGAACACCGGUGGCGAAGGCGGCUUUCUGGCCCGAUACUGACACUGAGGCGCGAAGGCCGGGGGAGCAAACAG